CCCGCCCGGGGCGCGCCCCGGGCGGGGCGGGGGCACGGGGGGAACGCGAAGAACCUUACCUACUCUUGACAUCCAGAGAACUUAGCAGAGAUGCUUUGGUGCCUUCGGGAACUCUGAGACAGGUGCUGCAUGGCUGUCGUCAGCUCGUGUUGUGAAAUGUUGGGUUAAGUCCCGCAACGAGCGCAACCCUUAUCCUUUGUUGCCAGCGGUUCGGCCGGGAACUCAAAGGAGACUGCCAGUGAUAAACUGGAGGAAGGUGGGGAUGACGUCAAGUCAUCAUGGCCCUUACGAGUAGGGCUACACACGUGCUACAAUGGCAUAUACAAAGAGAAGCGACCUCGCGAGAGCAAGCGGACCUCAUAAAGUAUGUCGUAGUCCGGAUUGGAGUCUGCAACUCGACUCCAUGAAGUCGGAAUCGCUAGUAAUCGUAGAUUCAGAAU
This 440-nucleotide ribosomal RNA is filed under the name Citrobacter sp. CK33. Its description in RNAcentral is "bacterial SSU rRNA". It matches the Rfam family "Bacterial small subunit ribosomal RNA", at positions 929 to 1355 of the family's 1533-position model. The record is from RNAcentral. Lineage: Bacteria; Pseudomonadati; Pseudomonadota; Gammaproteobacteria; Enterobacterales; Enterobacteriaceae.